GCGUUGUUCGGAUUUAUUGGGCGUAAAGGGCGUGUAGGCGGUAGUAGAAGUCUGGUGUGAAAUAUCUCGGCUCAACCGAGAAGAUGCGCUGGAAACUGUGCUACUAGAGUUUAGGAGGGGGAGCUGGAAUUCCUGGUGUAGGGGUGAAAUCUGUAGAGAUCAGGAAGAACACCGGAGGCGAAGGCGAGCUCCUGGCCAUAGACUGACGCUGAGGCGCGAAAGCGUGGGGAGCGAACAGGAUUAGAUACCCUGGUAGUCCACGCUGUAAACGAUGUGCACUAGGUGUCUGUCUGUAGAAGAUGGGUGCCCUAACAAACGCCAAUAAGUGCACCGCCUGGGGAGUAUGCUCGCAAGGGUGAAACUCAAAGGAAUUGACGGGGGCCCGCACAAGCGGUGGAGCAUGUGGUUAAUUCGAUGAUACGCGAGGAACCUUACCAGGGCUUGACAUAUACAAGUGAAAGCGUGUGAGAGCAAGCUUCCACUUUUGUGGACUGUAUACA
RNAcentral lists this ribosomal RNA (500 nucleotides) under uncultured spirochete MT51. Its description in RNAcentral is "bacterial SSU rRNA". It matches the Rfam family "Bacterial small subunit ribosomal RNA", at positions 538 to 1036 of the family's 1533-position model. Lineage: Bacteria; Pseudomonadati; Spirochaetota; Spirochaetia; Spirochaetales. The record is from RNAcentral.